RNAcentral lists this ribosomal RNA (207 nucleotides) under uncultured bacterium. RNAcentral describes it as "partial 16S ribosomal RNA". It matches the Rfam family "Bacterial small subunit ribosomal RNA", at positions 568 to 774 of the family's 1533-position model. The record is from RNAcentral.
CACGCAGGCGGUUUUUUAAGUCAGAUGUGAAAGGUACCGGCUCAACCGGUGACAUGCAUUUGAAACUGAAAGACUUGAGUAUUGGAGAGGCAAGUGGAAUUCCUAGUGUAGCGGUGAAAUGCGUAGAUAUUAGGAGGAACACCAGUGGCGAAGGCGGCUUACUGGACGGUAACUGACGUUGAGGCUCGAAAGCGUGGGGAGCAAACA